Molecule: transfer RNA, 67 nt
Filed under: Somanniathelphusa boyangensis
Lineage: Eukaryota; Metazoa; Arthropoda; Malacostraca; Decapoda; Parathelphusidae
Description: tRNA-Ser
Source: RNAcentral
GAUUGUUUAGUUUAUUAUAAAACGAAUGUUUUGAAAACAUUUAAAAAGAAACAAUUCUUAACAAUUA